This is a small nucleolar RNA of Cololabis saira (Pacific saury), 208 nucleotides long. RefSeq annotates it as small nucleolar RNA U3. The transcript has a single exon. NCBI's taxonomy places the organism in Eukaryota, Metazoa, Chordata, Actinopteri, Beloniformes, Belonidae. The record is from RefSeq and is a predicted model, not a curated record.
AAGAUUAUACUUUCAGGGAUCAUUCACUUUAGUUUCUGGCUUGAGGAAUGUGUUUCUAACAAGUGUGGUCUCGCUACCCAUGAUGAUGAGGGAAGGUGUUUUCUUCAGAGCAGGAGACCAGUGAGGAAACCUGAUGUUUCCAUUCCUGUUGAUGAUUGUUCAGUGUUGGUUCAUCUGAUACUGAUGAAGGAAACAUGUUCUGAGUGGA